Molecule: ribosomal RNA, 460 nt
Filed under: uncultured bacterium
Lineage: Bacteria
Description: partial 16S ribosomal RNA
Rfam family: Bacterial small subunit ribosomal RNA
Source: RNAcentral
CCUACGGGUGGCAGCAGUGAGGAAUAUUGGUCAAUGGGCGCGAGCCUGAACCAGCCAAGCAGCGUGAAGGAUGACUGCCCUACGGGUUGUAAACUGCUUUUAUAAAGGAAUAAAGUCAGGCACGUGUGCCUGUUUGUAUGUACCUUAUGAAUAAGGAUCGGCUAACUCCGUGCCAGCAGCCGCGGUAAUACGGAGGAUCCGAGCGUUAUCCGGAUUUAUUGGGUUUAAAGGGAGCGUAGAUGGGUUGUUAAGUCAGUGGUGAAAGUUUGCGGCUCAACCGUAAAAUUGCAAUUGAUACUGGCAGUCUUGAGAAUAGUUGAGGUAGGCGGAAUGCGUGGUGUAGCGGUGAAAUGCUUAGAGAUCACGAAGAACUCCGAUUGCGAAGGCAGCUUACUAAACUGCCACUGACGUUGAUGCACGAAAGUGUGGGUAUCAAACAGGAUUAGAUACCCGAGUAGUC